RNAcentral lists this ribosomal RNA (467 nucleotides) under uncultured bacterium. RNAcentral describes it as "partial 16S ribosomal RNA". It matches the Rfam family "Bacterial small subunit ribosomal RNA", at positions 29 to 507 of the family's 1533-position model. The record is from RNAcentral.
ACGAACGCUGGCGGCGUGCUUAACACAUGCAAGUCGAACGGAAAGGCCCUGCUUUUGUGGGGUGCUCGAGCGGCGAACGGGUGGGUAACACGUGAGUAACCUGCCCUUGACUUUGGGAUAACUUCAGGAAACUGGGGCUAAUACCGGAUAGGAGCUCCUGCUGCAUGGUGGGGGUUGGAAAGUUUCGGCGGUUGGGGAUGGAUUCGCGGCUUAUCAGCUUGUUGGUGGGGUAGUGGCUUACCAAGGCUUUGACGGGUAGCCGGCCUGAGAGGGUGACCGGCGACAUUGGGACUGAGAUAGGGCCCAGACUCCGACGGGAGGCAGCAGUGGGAAAUAGUGCAAAAUGGGCGGAAGCCUGAUGCAGCAACGCCGCGUGCGGGAUGACGACGUGCGAGUUGUAAACCGCUUUCGCCUAUAACGGAGCGUGAGUGACGGUAAUGGGUAAAGAAACACCGGCUAACUACGUG